RNA transcript from Hevea brasiliensis (rubber tree), 2025 nucleotides. RefSeq lists it as uncharacterized. Lineage: Eukaryota; Viridiplantae; Streptophyta; Magnoliopsida; Malpighiales; Euphorbiaceae. The transcript has 7 exons. The record is from RefSeq and is a predicted model, not a curated record.
AAAAAAAUUGGACCGUUGGAUUUAGCUCAAAUCGAUUCAAAACUGAACCUAAAUUACAAUCUUAGGAUUCACGAUUUCGAUUCUGAGUUGGCUCGAAUCAGAACCGGCUCGGUAGCGAUAUAUAUAUCUAUAUGAAAUGAUGUUGGAUAUAAUUUCUCAAACUUAAAGCGAGUCUAAACAAGAAACGCCAGAUGUUGAAGAUGGUCGAAGCUGCAAUGGUCACCCAAGUCCACGUAAAGCCCCCUCUCUCCACGACCCCAUAUGUUUGCAUUUCAACAGGAAAUCUAAGAAGGAAGACAAGGGGAACGAAAUUAGCAAAGUCAUGUAAAGCUUGGAAGCUUAUUGCUGCUGCUUCCGCUUCGUCUUCGUCUUCUUCUGGGUCUUUUAAUCGAACAGUUGGUGAACAAUUGUUUCGUGGAAAUGAAAUUAGCGGAAAUAAAAAAGAGAGGAGUAAAAGCAAGAAAAGGGUGUUUUUCUUGGAUGUCAAUCCUCUUUGUUAUGCUGGAAGCACACCGAGCUUGGACUUUUUUGGUUACUGGAUUUCUCUUUUCUUCUCUCAAGUCAGCCUUAGCGACCCUGUUAUUGCUGUUCUUGAUGGAGAAGGGGGUAGUGAGCACCGCAGACAGCUGUUGCCUUCAUAUAAAGCACAUAGGAGAAAAUUCUUAAGCCAAUUAUCAGCUUGUCACAAAUUUUCAAUGGAUCAUGUUCGAAGGUCUCAAGUUGUCAUUGAUGUUCUAAGAAAAUGCAAUGUUCCAGUUGUAAAAAUGGAAGGCCAUGAAGCAGAUGACGUGGUCGCGACACUUGUAGGACAAGUCUUACAAAGAGGAUAUAGGGUGGUUAUUGCCUCGCCGGAUAAAGAUUUCAAGCAGUUGAUUUCUGAAGAUGUGCAGAUUGUUUUGCCUGUUACAGAGCUAAAACGGUGGUCCUUUUACACCGUGAAGCACUAUAAUGCUCAAUAUAAUUGUGAUCCAUGCUCUGAUCUGAGUUUUAGAUGUAUUAUGGGUGAUGAGGUUGAUGGCGUUCCUGGGAUACAAAACAUGGCUCCUGGGUUUGGUCGAAAGACUGCUUUAAAGCUUUUGAAAAAACACGGUUCAUUGGAAAAUUUGCUAAAUGCGGCAGCAGUAAGAACUGUGGGCAAACAAUAUGCACAAGAUGCCCUCACAAAACAUGCUGAUUUUUUGCGCAGGAAUUAUGAGGUUCUGGCACUGAAGAGGGAUGUUGAUGUUCAUCUUCAGGAGGAAUGGUUGAUUGAAAGAGAUAGAUGCAAUGAUUCCAUUAUCCUGUCUAACUUCCUCAAGGUGUUGGAAGAAAACAAAAUGCCCUUUCAGCAAAAGAGAUCUCAUUCUUGAAGUGGUUAAGGCCCCAACGGUGGGGCUCUGUUGCUAGUCUUAUUGGUUUUUGGCUUGGCUACAUUACAUGGUUCUCAUUCCAUUUUUACAUAUGGUUUAUUUGAAGAACCCUGCUAUCUGACAACCAUUGCAUUCCCUUGGCAGAGGAGAGUUUAUAUAUGCUAAGAAAUGUUAUUUUCCCUGGACCAGAAAAGUAUGGGCAUAAAAUUGAUAAGGUGGUGAAGAGUGAGCUGGGAAAUGAAGAAUGUAGAACUGUACAGUGAAUACCACUUCUUUGAUCUAUGAGCUGUAGCAGCAUUGGAAGUUAAUGUCUAGUGAAGCUGAUAUUGGAACCAAUUUUCAGGUUAUAAUUUCCAAAGAUGGGUAACUGUGGAGAGCUUAGAUAGAACUUUUGUUUCUGGUUACAAUUUGCUAGAGGGAAUUGUAAUUUUUUAUCACUGUGAAAUAGUCGCUGGUUGUAAUUUAUAAUGGUUAUGGAUCUGCUAAAGCUCCAGAGUGAACACAGCAUUUUUGGAUGGAGAAUGUUCCAAGUGCUGCUGUAUACUGCACUUUCACUUCUGUUGUUGAAGAUGCAGUAGUUACAAUUUUGUGCAACAUCUGAUAACCUCCACAAUUGUGUAUGCCUCUAGGCAAAUCUUGUUCAGUGAUUUGGGCUCACUAGCCUGAACUUGUGCCA